UACAGAGGUCUCAAGCGUUGUUCGGAUUCAUUGGGCGUAAAGGGUGCGUAGGUGGUGCCGUAAGUCGGAUGUGAAAUCUCGGGGCUCAACCCCGAAACUGCAUUCGAUACUGCGGUGCUCGAGGACUGGAGAGGAGACUGGAAUUCACGGUAUAGCAGUGAAAUGCGUAGAUAUCGUGAGGAAGACCAGUGGCGAAGGCGGGUCUCUGGACAGUUCCUGACGCUGAGGCACGAAGGCCAGGGGAGCAAACGGG
RNAcentral lists this ribosomal RNA (253 nucleotides) under uncultured bacterium. Its description in RNAcentral is "partial 16S ribosomal RNA". It matches the Rfam family "Bacterial small subunit ribosomal RNA", at positions 524 to 776 of the family's 1533-position model. The record is from RNAcentral.